CUAUUAUUUUGGUUUGUCUUUGUCAAUAAACUACAAGAUUGAACAAGAAAAAGAUAAUGUGGAAAAAGAAGCAAUAAUAGCAGCAUGUUGAGUAGUACCAAAAUAAUAAUAACAUGCUUGAGUAGAGUGUUACAUAUAGAUCCUCAUUAUUUAUUUGAAAGCACAACAUAUUCUCUUCACUUAGAAAGUUUUAGAGAACAAAACUUAUGUCUUGGUUUCUUGUAAUUUUGUUUCUCAGUCUCACAUUUUGUAGUGUUUCAGAGGCUAGACAUCAUAAGAAGGUUCCUUCUGCUCUUGUGGUUGGUACUGUCUACUGUGACACAUGUUUUCAGAAUGAUUUUUCCUUUGGAAGCCAUUUUAUUUCAGGUCCAUUUCACAAUUUCAUAUUCCGGAUCCGUAUGCGAGUUGAAUUUUAGAACGGAAGAAAAUAGAAGACUUCAGUAUCAUGAAAUACACUAUGAAAUGAGUCUGAAGUCUUAUCUUUCUCUUCCUUUCCUUGAAAACUCGACUCGUAAACAGACAAUUAGAUGUUAUGUGAUAACUUUGCGGCUGAUAUAUAUAUGUUUUUGAUGUUGUUGAGUACAGGUGCAUCAGUAGCAAUAGAAUGCAAAGAUGGGAAAUCAAAACCAAGAUUUAAGAGUGAAGUAAAGACAAAUGAGCAUGGAGAAUUCAAAGUGAAGCUACCAUUUUCAGUGAGUAAAAAUGCUAAGAGAAUCAAAGGAUGUAGUUUGAAAUUGAUAAGUAGCAAUGACCCUUAUUGUGCUGUGGCCUCAACAACAACCUCUUCAUCACUAAACCUCAAAUCAACAAACCAAAAACAACACAUUUUCUCAUUCAAGCCUAUAAAAAAGCCAAACCUAUGUAACCAAAAACCAAAGUUUUCAGAUAAAAAGUUCUUUUUUCCAACAAUCCCUUUUUUUCCACCACUUGUUCCAAACCCAUUUCAGCCACCACUUAUUCCAAACCCAUUUCAGCCACCACCACUUAUUCCAAACCCAUUUCAGCCACCACCUCUUAUUCCAAACCCAUUUCAGCCACC
RNAcentral lists this long non-coding RNA (1039 nucleotides) under Lupinus mutabilis. Its description in RNAcentral is "partial ncRNA". Lineage: Eukaryota; Viridiplantae; Streptophyta; Magnoliopsida; Fabales; Fabaceae. The record is from RNAcentral.